AUGGUCAACCCCACCGUGUGUGUUCUUCAACAUCAUGGCCGAUGACAAGCCCUUGGGCCGCAUCUCCUUCGAGCUGUUUGCAGACAGAGCUCCAAAGACAGCAGAAAACUUCCAUGCUCUGAGCACGAAAGGAGAGAAAAGAUUGGCUAUAAGGGUUCCCCCUUUCACAGAAUUAUUCCAGGAUUCAUGGGCCAGGGUGGUGACUUCACACGCCAUAAUGGCACUGGUGGCAGGUCCAUCUACAGAGAGAAAUUUGAGGAUGAGAACUUCAUCCUGAAGCAUACAGGUCCUGGCACCUUGUCCAUGCUGAAUGCUGGACCAACACAAACGGUUCCCAGUGUUUUAUCUCCACUGCCAAGAAUGAAUGGCUGGAUGGCAAGCAUGUGGUCUUUGGGAAGGGGAAAGAAGGCAUGAACAUUGUGGAAGCCAUGGAGCGCUCUGGGUCCAGGAAUGGCAAGACCAUAAGAAGAUUGCCAUUUCUGACCAUGAACAACUCUAA
RNAcentral lists this long non-coding RNA (499 nucleotides) under Mus musculus (house mouse). RNAcentral describes it as "long non-coding RNA chr5:64320255-64320754". Lineage: Eukaryota; Metazoa; Chordata; Mammalia; Rodentia; Muridae. The record is from RNAcentral.